This 630-nucleotide ribosomal RNA is filed under the name uncultured bacterium. Its description in RNAcentral is "bacterial SSU rRNA". It matches the Rfam family "Bacterial small subunit ribosomal RNA", at positions 223 to 872 of the family's 1533-position model. The record is from RNAcentral.
AAAGAUAGUCCCGGCUGAUUAGCUAGUUGUGAGGUAAUGGCUCACCAAGGCUGUGAUCGGUAGCCGGCCUGAGAGGGCACACGGCCACACUGGCACUGAAACACGGGCCAGACUCCUACGGGAGGCAGCAGUGGGGAAUCUUGCACAAUGGACGAAAGUCUGAUGCAGCAACGCCGCGUGAGCGAUGAAGCCCUUCGGGGUGUAAAGCUCUUUCGACAGGAACGAUAAUGACGGUACCUGGAGAAGAAGCUGCGGCUAACUACGUGCCAGCAGCCGCGGUAAUACGUAGGCAGCGAGCGUUGUUCGGAAUUACUGGGCGUAAAGGGUGAGUAGGUGGCGCUAUAAGUUCGGUGUGAAAUCUCCCGGCUCAACUGGGAGGGUGCGCCGAAAACUGUGGUGCUCGAGUGUGGGAGAGGUAAGCGGAAUUCCUGGUGUAGCGGUGAAAUGCGUAGAUAUCAGGAGGAACACCGGCGGUGUAGACGGCUUACUGGACCAUUACUGACACUGAAUCACGAAAGUGUGGGUAGCAAACAGGAUUAGAUACCCUGGUAGUCCACACCCUAAACGAUGCAUACUUGGUGUGAGCCAUUCAUUUGGUUCGUGCCGGAGCUAACGCGUUAAGUAUGCCGC